This 777-nucleotide ribosomal RNA is filed under the name uncultured Enterococcus sp. RNAcentral describes it as "bacterial SSU rRNA". It matches the Rfam family "Bacterial small subunit ribosomal RNA", at positions 28 to 776 of the family's 1533-position model. Lineage: Bacteria; Bacillati; Bacillota; Bacilli; Lactobacillales; Enterococcaceae. The record is from RNAcentral.
GACGAACGCUGGCGGCGUGCCUAAUACAUGCAAGUCGAACGCUUCUUUCCUCCCGAGUGCUUGCACUCAAUUGGAAAGAGGAGUGGCGGACGGGUGAGUAACACGUGGGUAACCUACCCAUCAGAGGGGGAUAACACUUGGAAACAGGUGCUAAUACCGCAUAACAGUUUAUGCCGCAUGGCAUAAGAGUGAAAGGCGCUUUCGGGUGUCGCUGAUGGAUGGACCCGCGGUGCAUUAGCUAGUUGGUGAGGUAACGGCUCACCAAGGCCACGAUGCAUAGCCGACCUGAGAGGGUGAUCGGCCACACUGGGACUGAGACACGGCCCAGACUCCUACGGGAGGCAGCAGUAGGGAAUCUUCGGCAAUGGACGAAAGUCUGACCGAGCAACGCCGCGUGAGUGAAGAAGGUUUUCGGAUCGUAAAACUCUGUUGCUAGAGAAGAACAAGGACGUUAGUAACUGAACGUCCCCUGACGGUAUCUAACCAGAAAGCCACGGCUAACUACGUGCCAGCAGCCGCGGUAAUACGUAGGUGGCAAGCGUUGUCCGGAUUUAUUGGGCGUAAAGCGAGCGCAGGCGGUUUCUUAAGUCUGAUGUGAAAGCCCCCGGCUCAACCGGGGAGGGUCAUUGGAAACUGGGAGACUUGAGUGCAGAAGAGGAGAGUGGAAUUCCAUGUGUAGCGGUGAAAUGCGUAGAUAUAUGGAGGAACACCAGUGGCGAAGGCGGCUCUCUGGUCUGUAACUGACGCUGAGGCUCGAAAGCGUGGGGAGCAAACAGG